AUUGAACGCUGGCGGCAGGCUUAACACAUGCAAGUCGAGCGGAAACGAUGAUAGCUUGCUAUCAGGCGUCGAGCGGCGGACGGGUGAGUAAUACUUAGGAAUCUACCUAGUAGUGGGGGAUAGCUCGGGGAAACUCGAAUUAAUACCGCAUACGUCCUACGGGAGAAAGGGGGCAACUUGUUGCUCUCGCUAUUAGAUGAGCCUAAGUCGGAUUAGCUAGAUGGUGGGGUAAAGGCCUACCAUGGCGACGAUCUGUAGCUGGUCUGAGAGGAUGAUCAGCCACACCGGGGACUGAGACACGGCCCGGACUCCUACGGGAGGCAGCAGUGGGGAAUAUUGGACAAUGGGGGGAACCUGAUCCAGCCAUGCCGCGUGUGUGAAGAAGGCCUUUUGGUGUAAAAGCCAUUUUUAAGCAGUGAAGAAGACUCUUC
This 431-nucleotide ribosomal RNA is filed under the name uncultured bacterium. RNAcentral describes it as "bacterial SSU rRNA". It matches the Rfam family "Bacterial small subunit ribosomal RNA", at positions 30 to 460 of the family's 1533-position model. The record is from RNAcentral.